UGGGUGGCCUGCCUUCAGCUCUGGGAUAAGCCUGGGAAACUGGGUCUAAUACCGGAUAUUCACUUCCUGUCGCAUGGUGGGUGGUGGAAAGUUUUUCGGUCUGGGAUGGGCUCGCGGCCUAUCAGCUUGUUGGUGGGGUGAUGGCUCACCAAGGCGACGACGGGUAGCCGGCCUGAGAGGGUGACCGGCCACACUGGGACUGAGACACGGCCCAGACUCCUACGGGAG
RNAcentral lists this ribosomal RNA (228 nucleotides) under uncultured bacterium. RNAcentral describes it as "partial 16S ribosomal RNA". It matches the Rfam family "Bacterial small subunit ribosomal RNA", at positions 118 to 347 of the family's 1533-position model. The record is from RNAcentral.